GACGAACGCUGGCGGCGUGCUUAACACAUGCAAGUCGAACGGUGAAAGCGGAGCUUGCUCCGCUGGAUCAGUGGCGAACGGGUGAGUAACACGUGGGCAACCUGCCCCUCACUUCGGGAUAACUCCGGGAAACCGGGGCUAAUACCGGAUAUGACCUCCUUGGGCAUCCUUGGAGGUGGAAAGUUUUUCGGUGAGGGAUGGGCCCGCGGCCUAUCAGCUUGUUGGUGAGGUAGUGGCUCACCAAGGCGACGACGGGUAGCCGGCCUGGGGGGGCGACCGACCACACCAGGACUGGGACACGGCCCGGACUCCUGCGGGAGGCAGCAGUGGGGAAUAUUGCACAAGGGGGGAAAGCCUGACGCAGCAACGCCGCGUGCGGGAUGACGGCCUUCGGGUUGUAAACCGCUUUCAGCAGGGAAGAAGCCGCAAGGUGACGGUACCUGCAGAAGAAGCACCGGCUAACUACGUGCCAGCAGCCGCCGUAA
Molecule: ribosomal RNA, 485 nt
Filed under: uncultured bacterium
Lineage: Bacteria
Description: partial 16S ribosomal RNA
Rfam family: Bacterial small subunit ribosomal RNA
Source: RNAcentral